RNAcentral lists this non-coding RNA (181 nucleotides) under Pseudomonadota bacterium. Its description in RNAcentral is "6S RNA". It matches the Rfam family "6S / SsrS RNA". Rfam says of the family: E. coli 6S RNA was the first non coding RNA to be sequenced, but its function was unknown until recently. It consists of 184 nucleotides that fold into an extended hairpin structure with a large single-stranded internal bulge. RNAcentral also lists the same sequence under 1 other name. Lineage: Bacteria; Pseudomonadati; Pseudomonadota. The record is from RNAcentral.
GGUUCUCUGCGGUGUGCGAGGCGGGCCGAUAGUCCCGAUCCAACACAUCAUGCCCGGGAGCCCACCUCCGACCGUGUACGGGGUCUGCGCGUGAUCCGCGGGCGGACGAAGCGGUCGGGAGGCACCCACCUACGAGAGUAGGGUUCGGGGGCUAUGGCCUGCACGGCACUGCGGAGAACGA